GGCAUCUCUGCUCAAUGACUGCACCAGAGGAGAAGGAAGGUGAAGCCCAGGGUUUCCACAGCCGCUUGGCCCAUUUCCCAAAGGUUUACUAGCAGGCUUUUGAAGACAGGAAGUAUACAGUGAAAGGCUCGGAUUUAUUUCUCAUUGGACAUAACCAACAGUGUGUAGCCGGGGAGACUGGAGUGGAACACUUGGGAGCUCAGCCCUGCCCAACCUGAGGAAUAGGCCUGGACUCUGCCUCUCUGGCUUGUCAGCGAGGGCUGGAGGGGGCUUUUGCAAUGGGCUGGUUUUCAGCCGAGAAUCGAGGAGUGUUAGUCCUGAUUCCAGCUUCUUACCUGCUUUUUCUUUUUAUAUUAGAUCCUUACAUGGUUUUGAUAGUGAAAUUAGCAAACAUAGGUGGACAGAAAGGAAAAAGAAAAGCACCAUAAAAGGAGAAUUACCCAGGAGAAAGCAUCGUGUUUUCCCCCUCGGGUUAACAGCUUUUAAGAAUGCCAGACACUCUUUCAGGGCUGAGCGGAUGUCUCUUGGAGCAUAGAUCAAUUAGCACACUGUGUUAUACUUUCUGUCGCUACUUUGUAAAUUUACAGAUAGUAAAUUUACAUCAUAAGCUUGGCCUGAUGUUUUCAAAGAAAUUCCUCCCCAUUAAACAAAUUUUAAACAAUG
Molecule: long non-coding RNA, 663 nt
Filed under: Mus caroli (Ryukyu mouse)
Lineage: Eukaryota; Metazoa; Chordata; Mammalia; Rodentia; Muridae
Description: lncRNA (MGP_CAROLIEiJ_G0005604.1)
Source: RNAcentral